UGGAGAUAAUAUCAGUGACUAUGAUAUGCUUGAAAAAAGGUUUACAACGUUUCAUGCCUCCAAUAUGGUCUUACAACAGCAGUACCGAGAGAAAGGCUCCACAAAGUACUCUCAGUUGAUUUCUCUUCUACUUGUGGCUGAACGAAACAAUGAAUUUGACAUCACCCACUUGGAUGUGGCAGAUUUUUUUGAGCACCCUAAUGAAAAAAUUGUUACACCUUGUGUAUUCGGCGUUAUCAUGCUGUAAAUAGGCUAAUUCGAUAGGAAGAUAAUUUUUAUGAGAUAUUUAAAUGAUGCGAUAGUUAUACGUUAAGAUUGGAAGUCAUUUGAGUUGUGAUUAAAAAUUCGACAAAGAUCGCCGCAAGUUACGGGUUUAAAUUUCACUGGAAUUUGGAUAAAAUGUUGAUGAGCUUUUCUCUCAAUAUACUAGGAGUUAUGGUCUGUUCUACCUGCCGAAUCGAAUGUCUAUGAGUCUAGUUUCCAACGCAACAAACCAUUCGUUAAUACAACUUCGGAGUAGAGAGAUAUUAACCUUUUCGUACAUGGGUGCACACUAUUACGGGAACAGUGUGCUUAGUCGGGUUUAGUUAAAAAAAAAUUAUUUAAGUCAUUCUUUAAAACUGAAACCCCUGCGUUUUAUCCUCUCCAAAACAGAACCUAACACCUAGGGAUUUCCUCUCAAACUCCUCCCAUCCAUCUAGCCAAUGAUAACAACAAUUUAGUCAUCCUCAAGAUGGAAAACACCAUGGUAACUUCGGAAUCGUGAAUUCUUCAAUGUUUCACUUUUCAUAGCAAGACUCCGCCUUGAAGUAAUUUCGAAUUUUGAGUAAUUCUGGUCACAUAAGGAAAUCAUUCCUAAGGCUUUCGAGGUCUCGGAAACAGUAUAUAACUCCAUCGACAAGGUUCGGAUAGACAGAGCGGCGUGCCUUCUCAGUAGGACCCCCAGG
This is a non-coding RNA of Nicotiana tabacum (common tobacco), 947 nucleotides long. The record is from RefSeq and is a predicted model, not a curated record. Lineage: Eukaryota; Viridiplantae; Streptophyta; Magnoliopsida; Solanales; Solanaceae.